Molecule: long non-coding RNA, 1907 nt
Filed under: Vulpes vulpes (red fox)
Lineage: Eukaryota; Metazoa; Chordata; Mammalia; Carnivora; Canidae
Description: lncRNA (ENSVVUG00000016352.1)
Source: RNAcentral
AAACCCGUAGGCCAAUUUCAUUUAUAAAAACUGGUACAGACACCCUAAAUUAGCGAACAACUUAGUAGCAUUUUAAAAUCCUAAUAAAAAAAGGCCAUGUGAGGUUUAUUCUAGGCAUUUACAAAUGUUUUGAAAGUGGAAACUUAAUUUAUAUUAAGAUCUUAGUAACAGAGGCAUGUUGAGAGAGUGUCUACCAUCAUGAAUUUUUGAACAUGAUUCUAGAGGCAAUAGGUAAUGUGUGUGAGAGUAUGAACCUGUUCCUUUGGAAAACCCCAAAGAAUUAUUUGAAGAGGAGAAUUUAGAAAUGUGGCUGGCUAUAAUAAAAUCCAUAAAGAGCAAUACUUUCCUAUAGAUUAUAACUGGAUAGGGUACAAUGCCAGAGAAUCUAGCAUAGCAACAAUAGGUAAGUUUGUAAGAAUCGAAAGAAACCUGCAAGAUCGAGUUGAAGAAAACCAUCUCCUGAAGGACAAAGAUCCCCACCUGACUUCAGCGCAGCCGCCUGGACAGCUCUGGAGGGCUUCAACUCCUCUCAAGCACAGCCACUUCUUUCACCGCCUGUCCUGGGGUUCCUACUACACCGUAGAGGUUUCCAAGAGCCUGCUUGGAAGAAGCUCGGGGAAGAAAGAUUCCUAGAUCCAGGGUCAAGGAGUAAACCUGCCCGUAAACCAGGGACAGCACAGGGCUCCAGAUGGAGGCUGGUCACCAAGGUGUUUGGAAUGGACCGAAGUUCACCCUGUCCCUAGUCUGAGACCUCCUGUCCAGAACUUGCUCCUCCAGCUCCGUGAGGACUGUCCUGUGAGGCCUACGGACGAAACUGAGACGUCAAGACCUGGUCAGGGACGUGUUUUCUUGCCUGAGAGAGAGCAAGGAAAGCUCCCUCCAGGGGCCGCGCAUUGUCAGCGGCCAGUUGAGAGCCUGGCCUCCUUCAGAGCUUGCCCCUGUUCUUUGCGGCCAAGGCCAACCUCAUCCACACAUUUGUUCUCCUUCAACAAAGGCUUACUGAGCUCCUGUAAAAUGGCAGACUCUUCUGCGACCUUUCAUCCAGCUGACUCAUCCUAAGCUUAAAUUCCACUUGCCCUGGUAGCUCUUCCACUACCCCUACACUUGGUUAGAACCACCCUGCCCUCCUCCCCACCGCCCGUGUUCUUAACAUCCCACAUUUCUCCUACUUCUUGUAGCUGCUUAACUUUUGGGCUCCCCUGCUUGACUCUUGGCAUUAUGAGGGCAAAGGGCCUGAUACCUUAAUCACUGCUCUCGCACGGUGUCUGGCAUGCCAGGAUACCUUUGAUGAAGUUAUUUUAACCUCGAUAAGCUCCAGCUAGAAACACGGGAAUGAGAUCACCUUCUAGAUGUAAUCCCUGCCCCCUUUUACAAACCUGGGUGGGAGGAGAUGCAAAGAGAGGUUAGAGCAUCCAGCGAGUGGCAGAGGUAAAAUCACAACGCAGACAGUCUGACUCCAGAUCCUCAUUCUCCACCCUUAUGUGAUGCUCUCUCUCAAAGAUGCUCUUUGCAGGUAAUGCCAUGGUUCACCUGAUUUUCCUACCCCAGUUUAGAAACCGUGUAGGACUGCUGCCAGAAAUUUUGUGUUUCCCUUUUGUGGUCUGUUUAGGAUGUUAGCGACCACGUUUCGGAGCUGUCGGUGUGGGCAUAAAACAUACUUUGUAAGGUUGUUAUAAGGAUCACAGACCUUAUAAAGUGCAUAAAGACCUUAUGAAGUGCAGAGGGGGAUAAAGUUUUGAGGGUACUGUCUUAAGUAAUGAGGAUGAGUGUCCCGUAGCUGGCACGGCGGCGUCCAUGUAGUAAAUCCUCAACAGUGGUAACUGUCUUCUGCUUUGAACCACAUCGCUUUACUGUUCUGGAGUCCUCCUUCCUCUCAUGAGUUAAUAAAAACAUCUACAGGGCAUGCA